UGCAAUUACCAUAUAUAUACAGUAAAAUAUACACAUGACUAUCUCCAAUCAACUCGCAUAGUCACCCCUCUCUCCUCCUCGACCUAAAAUUUUCUCUCUCGCUUAACAACACAAAGCGGCCGUCAAGUUUGUGACCGGCGCGUGGCGGCUCAGUUAGCGCCGGCGUCGGUCAUUUCCGUCGAUUUAUUGCUUAGUUUUUCAAUUCUGUCUUUUCCUAGGAAGUGUGGAAGCUUUCGACGUUGCUCCUUAGCCUUGAAGUGGAGUCUCGGCUAGCUUCUGCUAUGACCGGUGGUUCAUUUCCUUGAGUCAUUGCCUCCCGUGGAGGUUUUGGCGUUCCUUUUCGACGGCUCGUUUUUCUUCUUACCUCGAUGAAUCUGUGCAACAUCAGAAUAAUUCCUUGUUAACUUCCGUAUCUCCCUCGUCUCUACUGUCUUCCUGGUUGCAGUCUAGUUUAUGACUUUUGUUUUGUUGUCAAGGUUGUAGUCAUAGUUUAGCUCUUGAUCUCGAGGAAGUUACGGCCAGGUCUUUGUCUAGCUUAGGAUAGCUUUCGCUUACCUCCUCUAUGUUCGCUGAAUCUUUAAACUAAGUCUCUUACCACCGCUUUAGUUUAGAAAAUAAUUAAGUCUUCUUCCGUGGUCUGUUCCUUGUCUGUUCUUGUAAGGCUAACCUCUUGUAGCAAUGUCUUUUGUGGGGAUGCAAAGUCCUAGAUGUAGAUUCUCGGUAAAGAUUAGGUGGGUAGGAAUUAGAUUCGCUUUCUUUGCUUACUUUGUUCGAGGUAUCUUGUUAGAGUUUUUCUCUUGGCUUUGUUGUUUUAAUUUGUGUUUUGGCUUUGUUGUUUUAAUUUGUGUUUCCUGUGUAUGGGGCUUAAGUUUCGAGGGAUAUUUCUGUUUUUUGCCGGCUUUAGGAUAUCAUUUAGGAUAUCAAAACCGUAUUCCAGCCCUGUAUUCUAUCCUUCUAUUAUAUGAUGAAAAUGUUUAACUGAAAAAAAAAAUCUCCAAUCAAAUUAUUAUUAUUUUUUUCAA
Molecule: non-coding RNA, 1022 nt
Organism: Camelina sativa (false flax)
Lineage: Eukaryota; Viridiplantae; Streptophyta; Magnoliopsida; Brassicales; Brassicaceae
Source: RefSeq, a predicted model, not a curated record